AUUGUUUGGUGGCGAUAGCGAAGAGGUCACACCCGUUCCCAUACCGAACACGGAAGUUAAGCUCUUCAGCGCCGAUGGUAGUCGGGGGUUUCCCCCUGUGAGAGUAGGACGCCGCCAAGCAAU
This 123-nucleotide ribosomal RNA is filed under the name Bacillus mojavensis. The record is from RNAcentral. Lineage: Bacteria; Bacillati; Bacillota; Bacilli; Caryophanales; Bacillaceae.